This 687-nucleotide long non-coding RNA is filed under the name Callithrix jacchus (white-tufted-ear marmoset). RNAcentral describes it as "lncRNA (ENSCJAG00000079167.1)". Lineage: Eukaryota; Metazoa; Chordata; Mammalia; Primates; Cebidae. The record is from RNAcentral.
AGAACACAGAGUUCUUUCUCUCUAAAGGAUGCAGCAACAAGGUACCAUAUUGGAACCAGAGACUGAACCUUCCAGCACCUUGCUUUUGAACUUCCCAGCCUCCAGAACUGAAUUUCCCGGCACAAAUUUGCUUGGUGCCAACCUUGUGAGACGGGACUUGCUCCUCCUUGCCUUCUGCCAUGAUUGUGAGGCCUUCCCAGCCACGUGGAACUGUAAGUCCAUUAAACCUCUUUUUCUUUCCAGUGUCAGGUAUGUCUUUAUCAGCAGAAUGAAAAUGGGCUAACACACGCUUUAACAGACUGCUUUGUUUACCAUCACUUUAAAAUAACAGAGCAGACAAUGGACCAAUGUAACAGAACAGAAUCUGGAACCAGAUUCCAUAUGGGUUUACACAUCUGAAUGACAAAUGUGCUAUUAUAAGUCAGUGGGGGGAAAGGAAUCCUGGGUAAAUCUCACUGAAAACAUGCUUAUCUCUUUAGAAGAAGUGAAACAAAAUGAAAUUAGGUUCCUACCUCACAUCAAUACAUAAAUCAAUUUCAGGAAGAUUAAGAAUAUAAAUGUGAAAAGCAAAACAUUUAGGCAAAUUGUGGAUGUAAAUUAUUCUCCAACUCUUAGAUUAUACAGAUAAGACAAAAAUAUCAGUGAAAAAGACUGCAAUUUGCCUAAAAUUUCUAUACAGUAUAAUAG